AGUGGGGAAUAUUGGGCAAUGGACCAAAAGUCUGAUCCAGCAAUUCUGUGUGUUUGAUGAAGGCCUUCGGGUUGUAAAGAACUUUCAAUGGGGAAGAAGCAAGUGACGGUACCCAUAGAAGAAGCGACGGCUAAAUACGUGCCAGCAGCCGCGGUAAUAUGUAUGUCGCAAGCGUUAUCCGGAAUUAUUGGGCGUAAAGCGCGUCUAGGCGGCCUUUUAAGUCUGAUGUGAAAAUGCGGGGCUCAACUCCGUAUUGCGUUGGAAACUGGAAGGCUAGAGUAUCAGAGAGGUGGGCGGAACUACAAGUGUGGAGGUGAAAUCCGUAGAUAUUUGUAGGAAUGCCGAUGGGGAAGCCAGCUCACUGGAUGAAUACUGACGCUAAAGCGCGAAAGCGUGGGGAGCAAACGGGAUUAGAUACCCCGGUAGUCCACGCCGUAAACGAUGAUCACUAAGUGUGGGGGGUCGAACCUCCGUGCUCAAGCUAACGCGAUAAGUGAUCCGCCUGGGGAGUACGUACGCAAGUAUG
Molecule: ribosomal RNA, 526 nt
Filed under: uncultured bacterium
Lineage: Bacteria
Description: bacterial SSU rRNA
Rfam family: Bacterial small subunit ribosomal RNA
Source: RNAcentral